UCUGAACUGGGUGACUAGAGUGUGUCAGAGGGAGGUAGAAUUCCACGUGUAGCAGUGAAAUGCGUAGAGAUGUGGAGGAAUACCGAUGGCGAAGGCAGCCUCCUGGGAUAACACUGACGUUCAUGCUCGAAAGCGUGGGUAGCAAACAGGAUUAGAUACCCUGGUAGUCCACGCCCUAAACGAUGUCAAUUAGCUGUUGGGCAACUUGAUUGCUUAGUAGCGUAGCUAACGCGUGAAAUUGACCGCCUGGGGAGUACGGUCGCAAGAUUAAAACUCAAAGGAAUUGACGGGGACCCGCACAAGCGGUGGAUGAUGUGGAUUAAUUCGAUGCAACGCGAAGAACCUUACCUGGCCUUGACAUGUACGGAAUCCUCCAGAGACGGAGGAGUGCCUUCGGGAGCCGUAACACAGGUGCUGCAUGGCUGUCGUCAGCUCGUGUCGUGAGAUGUUGGGUUAAGUCCCGCAACGAGCGCAACCCUUGUCAUUAGUUGCCAUCAUUUAGUUGGGCACUCUAAUGAGACUGCCGGUGACAAGCCGGAGGAAGGUGGGGAUGACGUCAAGUCCUCAUGGCCCUUAUGACCAGGGCUUCACACGUCAUACAAUGGUCGGUACAGAGGGUAGCCAAGCCGCGAGGUGGAGCCAAUCUCACAAAACCGAUCGUAGUCCGGAUUGCACUCUGCAACUCGAGUGCAUGAAGUCGGAAUCGCUAGUAAUCGCAGGUCAGCAUACUGCGGUGAAUACGUUCCCGGGUCUUGUACACACCGCCCGUCACACCAUGGGAGUGGGGGAUACCAGAAGUAGGUAGGGUAACCGCAAGGAGCCCGCUUA
Molecule: ribosomal RNA, 828 nt
Filed under: uncultured bacterium
Lineage: Bacteria
Description: bacterial SSU rRNA
Rfam family: Bacterial small subunit ribosomal RNA
Source: RNAcentral